RNAcentral lists this ribosomal RNA (397 nucleotides) under uncultured bacterium. RNAcentral describes it as "partial 16S ribosomal RNA". It matches the Rfam family "Bacterial small subunit ribosomal RNA", at positions 523 to 918 of the family's 1533-position model. The record is from RNAcentral.
AUACGUAGGUGACAAGCGUUAUCCGGAUUUACUGGGCGUAAAGGGCGUGUAGGCGGUCUUGCAAGUCAGAAGUGAAAUUCCUGAGCUCAACUCGGGCGCUGCUUCUGAAACUGCAGGACUCGAGUGCUGGAGGGGAUAGCGGAAUUCCUAGUGGAGCGGUAAAAUGCGCAGAUAUUAGGAAGAACACCGGUGGCGAAGGCGGCUAUCUGGACAGUAACUGACGCUGAGGCGCGAAAGCGUGGGGAGCAAACAGGAUUAGAUACCCUGGUAGUCCACGCUGUAAACGAUGAAUACUAGGUGUAGGGGGUAUCGACUCCCUCUGUGCCGCAGUUAACACAAUAAGUAUUCCGCCUGGGGAGUACGGCCGCAAGGUUGAAACUCAAAUGAAUUGACGGGG